UCUUGGUUCAGGACGAACGCUGGCGGCGUGCCUAAUACAUGCAAGUCGAACGGUCUUUCUAUGGAAGCUUGCUUCCACUGAGAAGAUAGUGGCGAACGGGUGAGUAACACGUGGGUAACCUGCCCAUAAGAGGGGGAUAACAUCCGGAAACGGGUGCUAAUACCGCAUAGUUUUCUUGAUUGCAUGAUUGAGAAAGGAAAGACGGCCUUUGUGCUGUCGCUUAUGGAUGGACCCGCGGCGUAUUAGUUAGUUGGUGAGGUAACGGCUCACCAAGACGAUGAUACGUAGCCGACCUGAGAGGGUGAUCGGCCACAUUGGGACUGAGACACGGCCCAAACUCCUACGGGAGGCAGCAGUAGGGAAUCUUCCGCAAUGGACGAAAGUCUGACGGAGCAACGCCGCGUGAGUGAAAGAAGGUUUUCGGAUCGUAAAACUCUGUUGUCAGAGAAGAACAAGUUGGAGAGUAACUGCUCCAGCCUUGACGGUAUCUGACCAGAAAGCCACGGCUAACUACGUGCCAGCCGCCGC
Molecule: ribosomal RNA, 528 nt
Filed under: uncultured bacterium
Lineage: Bacteria
Description: bacterial SSU rRNA
Rfam family: Bacterial small subunit ribosomal RNA
Source: RNAcentral